ACCACUUCGGUGGGGAUUAGUGGCGAACGGGUGAGUAACACGUGGGCAAUCUGCCCUUCACUCUGGGACAAGCCCUGGAAACGGGGUCUAAUACCGGAUACCACUCGCACGGGCAUCUGUGCGGGUUGAAAGCUCCGGCGGUGAAGGAUGAGCCCGCGGCCUAUCAGCUUGUUGGUGAGGUAACGGCUCACCAAGGCGACGACGGGUAGCCGGCCUGAGAGGGCGACCGGCCACACUGGGACUGAGACACGGCCCAGACUCCUACGGGAGGCAGCAGUGGGGAAUAUUGCACAAUGGGCGAAAGCCUGAUGCAGCGACGCCGCGUGAGGGAUGACGGCCUUCGGGUUGUAAACCUCUUUCAGCAGGGAAGAAGCGAAAGUGACGGUACCUGCAGAAGAAGCGCCGGCUAACUACGUGC
Molecule: ribosomal RNA, 418 nt
Filed under: bacterium S1A-203-16S
Lineage: Bacteria
Description: bacterial SSU rRNA
Rfam family: Bacterial small subunit ribosomal RNA
Source: RNAcentral